ACACGCGGUGAGAGAGAGUCGCGGAGGUGUGGUGACCAAGGCGUCACCGGAGAGCACCGAGAUUCUCGCCGGAGAAAGUUUGAUGGUGAGCGACGGUGAGAAGAAGAGAAAAGAUGGGUCACGACAAAUUCUUUUUUCUUUCUUCAGUUGGGCCAAGAUGGGCCUGUCCUCCCAUUAAUGAAUAUUUUGUUUUUUGGGCUAAGUUCAUAAAUGCCCAAAAGUCAGAAAGAGAAACAAUGGUACGUUUCUCUUGAUGCUUCUUUCUCGGAAGUGUUGAAGCUGAAGCUAAGAGACAGUCACGACAUAAGCAAUCGUCAAAUCGUAAGUUGAGGUUUUAUGACUGGGAGCGAUUAGGUUCGGCGAUGAAGUCGAAGAUGGAUCGGUAAACCAUAUCGAGAUUCUCGUCGGAGGAGGAAGUGACGAUUGAAGAAGAAAGUGUUCUCGAGAAGAAAGGAGCUCAAAUUAGCUAAAGAAAUUUGAAGACUGGAGCUUGCAAGGCUCGGAUAUCUUCCGGUAAAUCCAGAAAUUCUGAUUUUCUGUAAAGAAAUUGGAGGUUACAGUGAGUAAGAAAGACGAUGCCACAAGUUUGUGUCUUCGUUUACUCUUGUUUGGAAAGGAAGAGAGACAGUAACAUCAUCGGCUGAAGUUUGAUUAAGAUCCUUGAAACGUGGAGUUUUGAAUCUGGUUGGUACAGUCUUUUACAGUUGGUAUUCGAAUACUAGUGUUACCACAGCCUCGGAAACUCAUAGAAUUCCAUGGGACUGAGGGACGCCUUAGAAGCUUGGAAAUUUUUAUGAGUAUUAGGCUGUGGGGUAUUUGUAAAAGGGUUUUCUGGAUUCAGUUCUAAAGACAAGACUUCAGUGGUUGGUUGAGUUUGGGUGAUGAUUUGUUGCAGAGUUCUGUCUCAGUGGUAAUGGUUAGAUUCUUGUGAAUCUAAAAGUCUUCAGUUGGUGGAUCUUUAGAGAUCGUGAAGCUACAAGGCUGCUAUUUUCAGAGGGAAUGCAGUGUGGCUCCGGAAAUCUACUGUUUGGUGUAAGCUGGAUAGCGUAAGAGUUCUUGUUUUCGAGACAAGAUGGCAGUAGCAAAGAUUCAUAAAUUCUACAGAUUUGUGUUUGGUAUAACACAUGAUGAUUCUGUUGGAAUGAAUGUAAGAGAACAAGGAGUUCUUAUCUCGGGUGGAGCAUUUAAUUCUCAGUGGUUAUCUUGUGUUUUGAAUCAGAUCUUCAAGCGACAAAAGAAGUAUAUGAUGGUACGCAAUUGACCGUAUUAUUUUCUCGUGUCGAAAUUCUUCCUAGCUAGGAGAGUUAGGCGGCGUGUUCUAUUCAUUUGAACAGCGAUGCAAGAUAAGUAUAUGUUGAUUUUGCUAAAGAAGAGUACAAGAUUUGGUUUUCUGGGAUGGAGGUAUGAUUUGAUGGCGUAUCAGCUUAAGUUGUUGCACUAUUAGAUUAUGAAGAAUGCUCCAAGUAGAGAUGACAAGGCUGCUGGAAAUAAAAGAAGGUUCUUGGUGGUUCUUUGGGUACAUAUGAAUAAGAUGGAGUGGUUACAUGAAGAAGAAGAUGUGCUACAAGUUAUAGUACGGUUUUCUCAAGAAAGAGGCCAUGGGAACUCACUCUAAUACAUAAGAAAGUGUGAGUGAACAGAAGAACAGUGAAGAACAGUUUAACUCAGAGAAGUGAGGCUGAGCUUACAUAGACAUUGUAACUCAAAUGGUUAUGGUUCCUGGUGGAGCUAUUUGUGGAGGUUGUCUGGGUGUUUAGCUCAGUAGCAUGGAGUUAAAAGGCUGGAUAUCACUGUUGUUUAAGGUUCAUGGAAGUUCAUUGUAUCAAGAAGAAGGGAAAGCCAAGAACAGGUGGUUAUCAACAGGUGUUCAGCUCAGAUUGGGUUAUAAUCUGAAGGUAAAAAAAGGGUCUUACAUAUUUGGUUUGAAGCUGGCUGAUUGGUAAGGAUUUCAGAAACAAGUUGCAGGUUUCAAGUUGUGAACUGCGGAUUUUCUGAAAGUGAGUUGCAGGUUUUUUUCUGAAAAUUUCAGAGAAGACACUAAGGUGUGAGAUGAAGAAAAUGAAGUGGUUCAGGGGAAUUAUCUAAGGAGGAAACUGAAAGAGACAAUUGCAAGUGUUGCAGGGGCUGUCUCAAGGCUAUUCACUUCAAGACUGUGAAAGUGUUGUGUAUCAAGCUUGAUAAACAACUCAUCUCAAGGCUGGUGUUAGCAACUGAAAUGGAGUCUUAGAAGAGACGCAAAUGCAGGAAAUUCAAAUUGCAUUUGACCAGACGCUUGCAGGUCAUUCAAGUAAAGUAUCUUCAAGUAUUGAUGAUAAAGAAGGGAAAGGCUUUGGCUUAAGUCUUGAAAUUGAAUGAGGUAAGGUUCAAGUCGUUUGGUGGAGUUCUGCAGGUUUUGCAGGUCUGUGGUUACAGCUGGAAGGGCACCAAGGGUUCUAGAUUUGGUGCAGAAGUAGUUGUACAUGUUUGUCUCAGGGAUAUCACAAGGUUUUGCUGAUAUGAGACAGGUGUAAAGAUAACUAGUAGUGGUUAAAAUCUGCUGGUGGUGGUUCUGUUUUAACAGAGAGUUUGAUCAAGGUUUAUGUUCAAGACUGGGUUGUUUAAACAGGAGGUGAAAGGUUCAGUCUAUAGCUAUAUAGUGUAUAUUUAGCUGGUUGGUGAGGCUGUUCACCUGGUGAAUCAAGAGCUUCAAGUCUGAGGCUAAGUUGAUUCAGUUUUCUGCAAUUGAUUCAAGUGAAUUCAAAGGAUUUUAAUCUCAAUGCGCAUGAGUAAAUCCUAGAAGCUUUAGCAAGGGAAUCAGGUUUUGCAGAGGGAUAAGUGGUACUUCAAUCACUGUAACAUGCUUAUGGCAUUAACAGAAGCCGUGGUGGAGAAUGUGUGAUUGAACAGCUCAUAGGUGGUGGAGCUUAUGGAGUUUUCUGUUGAGAUUGACAAGCUGGAGGUGUUUUCUUGACUUGUUAAUAAAUUUUUGCUGAGUGGUAACAUCAUAAUUCAAGUGUUGAAUGUAUCAUGAAGUGAUCACUGAAGAGUUGAGCUUAAUACAAGUUUGUAUGAAGCUGGUUUUCACAACUCUAGUGAUCUAAGGAUGUGUUGAUGGCUCAGGUUCAGCAAUGUGAGUAGUCACAGCUGAAGUGCAUUGAACGUAAGCUAAAUGCAGCGAGGAUCAAGCAAGUUUAUGGCAUUUUAAACUGCUAAGUAUCAAGGCAGAGUAAUGAUACUCAAGAGCCGAGAUUGGGAUCCAAGAAAGUAGAAGAAGAUACUCUCUCAAGUUUGUGCAGGUUGCUUGGUUUUGAUCAUCAUGUUCUCAGGUGGAGAUUUGUGAAGAUAUGAGAACUUGAUGAGCAACCAAACAAGGAUCAUGUGCAAACCAAAGGUAAACUCAAGUCCUAACCAAGGUUGAUUAUAUUAACUAAAGUUAGAAGAGCUUUUGGGACCACAAGGAGGAUCAUUUGAAUUCAUGGUCAAGAAGGAUACUUUGUCCUCUUGUGAAUAAGAUGAGGACUCGUUUGCUAGCGCACUAGGGUUUGAGGUUGUCUCCCAUAUAUAAAGUGAUAUGAAGACAUGAGAGAUAGGAAGCCACAAGAAGAUAGACACAAUGUAGCUCUAGGAGAUAGAAGGGUGAGAGAAAACAUGUAAAGGCUUAAGCUUUGGGUGGGAUUUUCUCAAGUAGAACAGAGAGUGGCCGACGAGUGAGUCUUGAGAGUGAAUCACUUGUAAUCUCUGUUAUCUUCUUCUAUUAGUGGAUGCAGUUGGGGGACAGUCUCCCUCCCCUGAGAUGUAGCCAACUUGGUGAACUCAGGGUGAACAAUCGUUUGUGUGCUUCUCUUCUUCCCUCUUCUCUGCUC
This is a long non-coding RNA of Arabidopsis lyrata subsp. lyrata, 3842 nucleotides long. RefSeq lists it as uncharacterized. Lineage: Eukaryota; Viridiplantae; Streptophyta; Magnoliopsida; Brassicales; Brassicaceae. The record is from RefSeq and is a predicted model, not a curated record. The transcript has 2 exons.